UGAGUCGGCCAGGCGGUCGCGUCAGGGCUUCGGCCCUGCCGAGGAACGUCCGGGCUCCACAGGGCAAGGUGGUGGCCAACAGCCACCCGGGGCGACCCGCGGGACAGUGCCACAGAGAACAGACCGCCGUCCGCACGGCCUCGGCCGGACGGGCGGCAAGGGUGAAACGGUGGUGUAAGAGACCACCAGCGACCUGGGUGACCAGGUCGGCUCGGUAAACCCCACCCGGAGCAAGCUCAGACAGUGUGCGUUCGAGGGCGGCCCGUCCGAGCACACGGGUAGAGCGCUGGAGGCGGUCGGCAACGGCCGUCCUAGAUGGAUGACCGCCACCGCGCCGCCGGCAACGGCGACGCGGGACAGAACCCGGCGUAUCGGCCGACUCAUCCA
Molecule: non-coding RNA, 387 nt
Rfam family: Bacterial RNase P class A
About the family: Ribonuclease P (RNase P) is a ubiquitous endoribonuclease, found in archaea, bacteria and eukarya as well as chloroplasts and mitochondria. Its best characterised activity is the generation of mature 5'-ends of tRNAs by cleaving the 5'-leader elements of precursor-tRNAs. Cellular RNase Ps are ribonucleoproteins.
Source: Rfam